AGCGGCGAACGGGUGAGAAACGCUUCGGAAUCUGCCCAAUGGUGGGGAAUAACCAGCCGAAAGGUUGGCUAAUACCGCAUGAGCCCUACGGGGGAAAGCGGGGGAUCGUAAGACCUCGCGCCGAUGGAUGAGCCGAAGCCGGAUUAGCUAGUUGGUAGGGUAACGGCCUACCAAGGCGACGAUCCGUAGCUGGUCUGAGAGGACGACCAGCCACACUGGGACUGAGACACGGCCCAGACUCCUACGCGAGGCAGCAGUGGGGAAUAUUGGACAAUGGGGGAAACCCUGAUCCAGCGACGCCGCGUGUGUGAAGAAGGCCUGCGGGUUGUAAAGCACUUUUAGUGGGGAUGAAAAGCUCAGAGCUAACACCUCUGGGUCUUGACCUAACCCACAGAAAAAGCACCGGCUAACUCUGUGCCAGCAGCCGCGGUAAUACAGAGGGUGCGAGCGUUAAUCGGAAUUACUGGGCGUAAAGCGUACGUAGACGGUUGGAUAAGUCAGAUGUGAAAGCCCCGGGCUCAACCUGGGAAUGGCAUUUGA
This 540-nucleotide ribosomal RNA is filed under the name uncultured bacterium. RNAcentral describes it as "bacterial SSU rRNA". It matches the Rfam family "Bacterial small subunit ribosomal RNA", at positions 94 to 630 of the family's 1533-position model. The record is from RNAcentral.